GACGAACGCUGGCGGCGUGCCUAAUACAUGCAAGUAGAACGCUGAAGAGAGGAGCUUGCUCUUCUUGGAUGAGUUGCGAACGGGUGAGUAACGCGUAGGUAACCUGCCUUGUAGCGGGGGAUAACUAUUGGAAACGAUAGCUAAUACCGCAUAACAAUGGAUGACACAUGUCAUUUAUUUGAAAGGGGCAAUUGUUCCACUACAAGAUGGACCUGCGUUGUAUUAGCUAGUAGGUGAGGUAAUGGCUCACCUAGGCGACGAUACAUAGCCGACCUGAGAGGGUGAUCGGCCACACUGGGACUGAGACACGGCCCAGACUCCUACGGGAGGCAGCAGUAGGGAAUCUUCGGCAAUGGGGGCAACCCUGACCGAGCAACGCCGCGUGAGUGAAGAAGGGUUUCGGAUCAUAAAGCUCUGUUGUAAGUCAAGAACGGGUGUGAGAGUGGAAAGUUCACACUGUGACGGUAGCUUACCAGAAAGGGACGGCUAACUACGUG
Molecule: ribosomal RNA, 497 nt
Filed under: uncultured bacterium
Lineage: Bacteria
Description: partial 16S ribosomal RNA
Rfam family: Bacterial small subunit ribosomal RNA
Source: RNAcentral